RNAcentral lists this ribosomal RNA (452 nucleotides) under Clavicipitaceae sp. LM169. RNAcentral describes it as "SSU rRNA". It matches the Rfam family "Eukaryotic small subunit ribosomal RNA", at positions 34 to 486 of the family's 1831-position model. Lineage: Eukaryota; Fungi; Ascomycota; Sordariomycetes; Hypocreales; Clavicipitaceae. The record is from RNAcentral.
CAGCUGUCCAAAGAUUAAGCCAUGCAUGUCUAAGUAUAAGCAAUUAUACGGCGAAACUGCGAAUGGCUCAUUAUAUAAGUUAUCGUUUAUUUGAUAGCACCUUACUACUUGGAUAACCGUGGUAAUUCUAGAGCUAAUACAUGCUAAAAAUCCCGACUUCGGAAGGGAUGUAUUUAUUAGAUUAAAAACCAAUGCCCUCUGGGCUCUCUGGUGAUUCAUGAUAACUUCUCGAAUCGCAUGGCCUUGCGCCGGCGAUGGUUCAUUCAAAUUUCUUCCCUAUCAACUUUCGAUGUUUGGGUAGUGGCCAAACAUGGUUGCAACGGGUAACGGAGGGUUAGGGCUCGACCCCGGAGAAGGAGCCUGAGAAACGGCUACUACAUCCAAGGAAGGCAGCAGGCGCGCCAAAUUACCCAAUCCCGACACGGGGAGGUAGUGACAAUAAAUACUGAUAC